Molecule: ribosomal RNA, 497 nt
Filed under: uncultured bacterium
Lineage: Bacteria
Description: partial 16S ribosomal RNA
Rfam family: Bacterial small subunit ribosomal RNA
Source: RNAcentral
GAUGAACGCUGGCGGCGUGCCUAAUACAUGCAAGUCGAGCGAACAGACGAGGAGCUUGCUCCUCUGACGUUAGCGGCGGACGGGUGAGUAACACGUGGAUAACCUACCUAUAAGACUGGGAUAACUUCGGGAAACCGGAGCUAAUACCGGAUAAUAUAUUGAACCACAUGGUUCAAUAGUGAAAGACGCUUUUGCUGUCACUUAUAGAUGGAUCCGCGCCGCAUUAGCUAGUUGGUAAGGUAACGGCUUACCAAGGCAACGAUGCGUAGCCGACCUGAGAGGGUGAUCGGCCACACUGGAACUGAGACACGGUCCAGACUCCUACGGGAGGCAGCAGUAGGGAAUCUUCCGCAAUGGGCGAAAGCCUGACGGAGCAACGCCGCGUGAGUGAUGAAGGUCUUCGGAUCGUAAAACUCUGUUAUUAGGGAAGAACAAAUGUGUAAGUAACUAUGCACGUCUUGACGGUACCUAAUCAGAAAGCCACGGCUAACUACGUG